AACAAACGCUGGCGGCGUGCCUAACACAUGCAAGUCGUACGAGAAAGUCCGCUUCGGUGGAUGAGUAAAGUGGCGCACGGGUGAGUAACGCGUGGAUAAUCUCCCCUUCAGUUGGGAACAACUCAUCGAAAGGUGGGCUAAUACCGAAUAACACUGCGAGACUUUGGUCGAGCAGUCAAAGAGAGCCUCUGCUUGCAUGCCCUCGCUGAAGGAUGAGUCCGCGUACCAUUAGCUUGUUGGCAGGGUAAUGGCCUACCAAGGCGACGAUGGUUAGCUGGUCUGAGAGGAUGAUCAGCCACACUGGAACUGAGACACGGUCCAGACUCCUACGGGAGGCAG
This 339-nucleotide ribosomal RNA is filed under the name uncultured Pseudomonadota bacterium. Its description in RNAcentral is "bacterial SSU rRNA". It matches the Rfam family "Bacterial small subunit ribosomal RNA", at positions 29 to 351 of the family's 1533-position model. The record is from RNAcentral. Lineage: Bacteria; Pseudomonadati; Pseudomonadota.